Molecule: ribosomal RNA, 229 nt
Filed under: uncultured bacterium
Lineage: Bacteria
Description: partial 16S ribosomal RNA
Rfam family: Bacterial small subunit ribosomal RNA
Source: RNAcentral
UGCGUAGGCGGAAUAUUAAGUCAGUGGUGAAAUCCUGCGGCUCAACCGUAGAACUGCCAUUGAUACUGAUAUUCUAGAAUGUAGUUGAGGUAGGCGGAAUGUGUAAUGUAGCGGUGAAAUGCUUAGAUAUUACACAGAACACCGAUUGCGAAGGCAGCUUACUAAACUAUGAUUGACGCUGAGGCACGAGAGCGUGGGGAGCAAACAGGAUUAGAUACCCUGGUAGUCC